Molecule: ribosomal RNA, 479 nt
Filed under: uncultured bacterium
Lineage: Bacteria
Description: bacterial SSU rRNA
Rfam family: Bacterial small subunit ribosomal RNA
Source: RNAcentral
UUGAACGCUGGCGGCAUGCUUUACACAUGCAAGUCGAACGCGAAAGGGGGCAACCCUGAGUAGAGUGGCGCACGGGUGAGUAAUACAUCGGAACGUGUCCUGUAAUGGGGGAUAACGCAGCGAAAGCUGUGCUAAUACCGCAUACGUCCUACGGGAGAAAGCGGGGGAUCGCAAGACCUCGCGUUAUAGGAGCGGCCGAUGCCGGAUUAGCUAGUUGGUGGGGUAAAGGCCUACCAAGGCAACGAUCCGUAGCUGGUCUGAGAGGAUGAUCAGCCACACUGGGACUGAGACACGGCCCAGACUCCUACGGGAGGCAGCAGUGGGGAAUUUUGGACAAUGGGGGCAACCCUGAUCCAGCCAUGCCGCGUGAGUGAAGAAGGCCUUCGGGUUGUAAAGCUCUUUCGGCCGGGACGAAAUCGCACAGGUGAAUACCUUGUGUGGAUGACGGUACCGGAAUAAGAAGCACCGGCUAACUACGU